Molecule: ribosomal RNA, 245 nt
Filed under: uncultured Prevotella sp.
Lineage: Bacteria; Pseudomonadati; Bacteroidota; Bacteroidia; Bacteroidales; Prevotellaceae
Description: partial 16S ribosomal RNA
Rfam family: Bacterial small subunit ribosomal RNA
Source: RNAcentral
UACGGAAGGUCCGGGCGUUAUCCGGAUUUAUUGGGUUUAAAGGGAGCGCAGGCCGUCGGCUAAGCGUGACGUGAAAUGCUGUGGCUCAACCUUAGCAGUGCGUCGCGAACUGGCUGGCUUGAGUGCACUCGAGGGACGCGGAAUUCGUGGUGUAGCGGUGAAAUGCUUAGAUAUCACGAAGAACUCCGAUUGCGAAGGCAGCGUCCCAGGGUGUAACUGACGCUAAAGCUCGAAAGUGCGGGUAU